This 393-nucleotide ribosomal RNA is filed under the name uncultured bacterium. RNAcentral's name for it is "partial 16S ribosomal RNA". It matches the Rfam family "Bacterial small subunit ribosomal RNA", at positions 523 to 918 of the family's 1533-position model. The record is from RNAcentral.
AUACGGAGGACGCGAGCGUUAUCCGGAUUCAUUGGGUUUAAAGGGUGCGCAGGCGGCCGUGCAAGUCAGCGGUGAAAGCCCGGGGCUCAACCCCGGAAGUGCCGUUGAUACUGCAUGGCUGGAAUGCGGUCGAGGCGGGCGGAACGUGGCGUGUAGCGGGGAAAUGCGUAGAUAUGGCACAGAACGCCGAUAGCGGAGGCAGCGCGCCAGGCCUGCAUUGACGCUCGGGCACGAAAGCGUGGGGAUCGAACAGGAUUAGAUACCCUGGUAGUCCACGCCGUAAACGAUGGGCGCUCGUCGUCGGCGGCAGACAGUCGGCGGCCAAGCGAAAGCGAUAAGCGCCCCACCUGGGGAGUACGGUCGCAAGGCUGAAACUCAAAGGAAUUGGCGGGG